UAGUGCAUAUCUUUUCCUUCUUAAAUUUAACAUGCAAAACCAGAAACAUUUUAAAGAGAGGAUUCAGGUUUUCGGAACAUUGACUUGGUCGAGGAUUUGGAAUGGGUCUAUGAAGGUGACCUUUUAAACUCUUCCUCAUCUCCACAUUCUUAGUAGCUCUAAUAUCAGCACAAUAUCUAUGUAAGGAGUGUCCUCAAAUGAGUGGGUAAUACCAUGGAGUCUAGACAGCCAGACCUGGGUUCAAAUUCUGUCUAUGUCACUUCCUAAGUAUGGUGACCUUAGAAUUUUACUUCACCACUCUGAGCUUGUUUCCUUUCCUAUAAAAUGAGGAUAUGAUAUUACAAAGUUCAAAGGCUCACUCGGAUGAUUAAUUGAAAUAAGGAAAAUACAACUUAGUAUAGAACUUGGCAUAUAUUAAAAACUCAACAAGGAGUUCUCGUGUGGCUCAGUGGUCAACGAACCCGACUAGGAACCAUGAGGUUGGUGUUCUAUCCCUGGACUCGCUCAUGUGGUUAAGGAUGCAGUGUUGCUGUGAGCUGUGGUGUAGGUGGCAGACGCAGCUUGGAUCCAGCAUUGCUGUGGCUGUGGUGUAGGCUGGCAGCUACAGCUCCGAUUUGACCCCUAGCCUGGGAACCUCCAUAUGCCAUUGGUGUGGCCCUAAAAAGCAAAAAAAAAAAAAAAAAGAAAAAGAAAAAACCUCAACAAAGCUUAUCUGUGUUCCUCCUCUUCUUCUUCCCCCUUUCCCCUCCUCCUUUUCUCCUUACUUCUCAUCAUCUCCUAUUUUGGCAUCUUUCUCCAUCUUUCCCUCCUCUCCUUUCUUUUUCCUAUUUUUCUUCUAUUUCCCUCCCUCCUCCUCCUCUUCAUCAGAAUCAUCACAUUGUUUUCUCUUACCCAAGGGCAUCUUUAAAGAUAUGUAGCUGAUUUGUCCCAGAACAAGAUUUUACAAUUCUUUGUAAGCAUGCAACAGCAAUAAACAGUUUUUAUUCUUGAUGUAUUUGUCUGGACCAAGGCACUGGGAAAGCACACACAUCUGUUAAAAGGAAGAACAAGAAUGUUCUGGAAAUAGGAUUAAUUCCUUUUCUGUUUUUUAAUUUUGACUAUGGGAUAGUAAGUAUUCCAUUAAGCAGAUGUUGAUGACUAGAACUUUGAAAGGAAAUAAGCAGUUUAUAUAGUGAUCUUGAAUCUUGAAUAUAAUAAUAGUAUUAAACUCUUUUACUAUAUACUUUCUCCAACUCCUCUUUGAUUUUUCUAUGAAGGUGAUAUAUAACCUCAUAAUUAAUUUUCUGGCUUACUCUCCAAUCUUUAAGUACUUUUUCUUUUUCUUGUCUUAUUGCAUUGGCUGGGCCUGGCAGUACAAUAUUUAGUAGAGAGUAGGUAUCCUUAACUUUUUUCUUAAAUUAAUGGAAAUGCUUAAAAUUACCUGUAAGUGUGAUUUUUAAGUUUUUACUAAAGGAUCUUUUAGUUCCCCUUUAUCAUUUCUAGGGAUUAUUCUUUUUAAAUCUUGACUUUGCAUAUUGAAUUUUACCAUAUGCUUUUUCUAUAUUUAUUUAUUUCAGUGAUUAUACAGAUAUUUUUUGUUUUAGUUUAAAAUCAUAAUAAUUUUCUAAUUUUCAUUUCUGAGCUAAAGUCUACUUUUUUAUAAUUUCUUGUUUUCUCUAACCUGUUGAAAUUCUGUUCUUUUUGAUAUUUUGCUUAGUAUUUUGCUAUCUAUAUUCAUCAGUAAGAUUGCUAUGUAACUUUCCUUUUCUUCAACCUGAUAUUUUUGUGCCUGAUAUUAGUCAAAUAACCUCAUAUAAUGAUUUCAGUGAUAAAGAAACACUGAAUAAUCUUAGACCUCUUUAUAAAAAAUGUAUAUAUUUUCUGAGUGAUUUUACCUAGACUUUAAAAAAGUCAUAUAUGCUUAUUACUGAAAAUUAAAAAAAACAAAGUAAGGAUGCCCAAACAAUUAGAAAUAUCUAGUAUCAUCAUUCUGAAUUACUUCUUUCUGGACUGACUUUCCAGGAUAUUAUGUGUUUGGGAUUAUACUGUUCAUACAGUUUUACAGCCUUCUUUGUUAUUUGACAUUAUGUCAUAAGUACAUUUCUCAUAUUAUUAUAUGAUACCACAGUACAGAAGCAUUUUUUUCUUCUCUUAGCAAUAUUUAGAUGGUGCCUGGGGCAGAUGUGUUAUUUCCUUAAAAAAUAUACGUCACAAUGUGGGGCAUCUAUCAUGAGAAAGAGUGCCAUAAAAAAAGUUGAGAUUCUUUAUCAUUCCUCACAGACCUAUCACCCUGGUUCUUUAACGUAGGCUGGUGAAAGCAAGUCGGACUGAUUCAAAAACAGGUCACACAGGAGCAUGUUUCACCCCAGAAUGAGCUUCUUGACAGGCCAUGUAUGAGAAGUAACUAGAGUAUUCACAACUCAAAUAAGGAGGGGAUGAAAGUAUGAGAAAUAAAGUUGUUUUCUUCAUUUCUUUUGUAUUGGAUUGGGUUGCUACACAUACAGCUUGUCAAACAGUGCCUAUUCCAGGAGUGGAAUGUGAUGGAGGACCAGAGGAAGGGGAUGUAUAUUUUCAGGUUCGUUACCUGCCAUCAAAGGGGGCAGAAUCACUUGACACAGUUCGUGGCAAUCUGGCAUUAGGACCCGCAGUAGGAGACUGAUAGAGGCAUGAGAACCAGGACGAGCAGACCCACAGGUUGCUGGGGGCAGUGCCUGGGGUUUUUUCAGUCAGCACCAUCUGGUGGCUUAGUGCUGUGUUCAGAGCACUGACUUUGGAGCCAGAAAAACAUGUUUUUUUGUUUCGUUUUCUUUUACUUCAAUUUUUAAAAUCCUGGGAUUAGCUUUAUUUUUAAAUUGGAGUAUAGUUGAUUGACAGUGUUGAGUCAAUGUCUGCUGUACAGCUUAGUGACCAAGUCAUACAUACAAAUACAUUGUUUUUCUCAUCCCAUCUUCCGUCCUGUUCUACCCCCAAAGACUGGAUGUAGUUCCCUGUGGUGUACAGUAGGACCCCUCUUAUAUGUGGAAUCUAAAAUAGGGCACAAAUGAUCCUAUUUACAAAACAUAAACAGAUCACAGAUGGGGAGAGCCAACUUGUGGUUGUGGGGUGGAGUGGGGAAAGAGGGGGAGAAGUGGGAUGGACAGGGAAUUUGGGGUUGGUAGAUGCAAAUUAUUACAUUUGGAAUAAAUAAGACUUGGCUUUUAAUUUUUAACUCUUGUUCUUAUCUGCUGUGUCACCAGAGAUGGGUUAUUUAGCCUCUGUGACCCUUGUUUUGAGGGGUGCAUGUGUGUGGUAAUAAUACUCUUGUGUGUUACCGGAAAGACAAGCAAUUUUAUUUUGGGUAAAGGACCAGCAUGGGAUCUGCAACAUGGCAGUGGUGUGGCCAAUGUUAGCUUUUCUGUCCUCUUCCUUCUGAGAUCAUGGUUCAGUAUUUUCUCCUCAUGUUCUAGAAAUAUCUGGCCGUCGACUUACUUUUCUUAUAGCUGUAUUAGAGCUCUACCCAGGGGUCAUUAGUGAAAAACAAAAACACAGCAACGUGCUACCUGAUUCUUUCCUCCCAGAAAUAUUUAGUACCAAGAAUUAAGGUCCUGAUGGGAUCCAGGAGAAGUCGAUGGUCAAUGGCAGGUGCCACAGCUCUGGAGCUACAUCAAAUUGGGUUUGAACCCUGGCUGCGUGCUUGAGGAACUGUGCAAAUUUUGGGCAGGUUAGUCAUGGUCAAGGAGUGGCUUCAGGAAUGCCAUGCCCAAUGUCCUGAUCCCUCAACUGGUCAGUUAGCCUUGGGGAAGGAACUCUGUUAAUAGUAACAGGCUUUCUUCUCUCUCUUUUUUUUUCACAUCAUGGGUUGUUGUUUUUUUUUUUUUUUUUUUUCAGUGAAUUUUAUUACAUUUAUAGCUGUACAAUGAUCGUCACAACCCAAUUUUGUGAAAAAAUAAACAGUUGGUUCAACCCCCCCAAAAAAACAAUACAAUAAAAUAUUAAAAAUAAAAAACAUAGUAACAGGCUUACCAUGUCAGAGCUCAUAAAUUGCUAUCAUAUUUAUUAUCCCCCCUGGGGUUCUUAGGAUCUUGGGAGAUGCAUUUUAAAAAAAUUGUUUUCUCAGGCCUUUGGUGCAGAGAGCGCUGCUUUUUCAUCACGUUUAUCUGCUCCUCUUGUCCUGCAAGGGAGGUUGACUUGGGGUCAUCCAGGCCUUGAAUUUGGGUUCAUACCCUGGGUCCCCCACUCUGCAUCUUUUCAACCGCAGGCAAGUUUCUCCACGUUUUGAGCUUCAAUUUCCUCAAACUCCCAGUGGACCGCAGAACUUAGAUGUAUGCUCAGCCAAAUUUGAAAUAUAAAAGAGGCAUUAUUAAUUAAUUAUCAUGUCCGCAAAUGUUGAUGCAGUCCCAGUCGUGAGCCCCGCAGGAGCUGUGUAUAUUGGGGUGAGCUGGGGGAGGGGAAGGAAGUUCUGACUCCAGUCACUUCACAUUCUCCAAGACCUUCCUGAGGGGAAGGGCUUCCGAUUCGUGUAGGUCUCUAUCCUUACC
This 4496-nucleotide long non-coding RNA is filed under the name Sus scrofa (pig). RNAcentral's name for it is "lncRNA (ENSSSCG00040059257.1)". The record is from RNAcentral. Lineage: Eukaryota; Metazoa; Chordata; Mammalia; Artiodactyla; Suidae.